GUGCCGGCAGGCGGGCGACGAGGCCGGCUGCUUCCAGUUGCCGGAUCUGACUGCUGACGGUCGGGCGGCUGAUCCGCUCGGCCUCGGCAAGC
This 92-nucleotide transfer RNA is filed under the name Aliidongia dinghuensis. Its description in RNAcentral is "tRNA-Gly". The record is from RNAcentral. Lineage: Bacteria; Pseudomonadati; Pseudomonadota; Alphaproteobacteria; Rhodospirillales; Dongiaceae.